RNAcentral lists this antisense RNA (75 nucleotides) under Streptomyces sp. DI166. RNAcentral's name for it is "ASpks TB sRNA". It matches the Rfam family "ASpks TB sRNA". The record is from Rfam by way of RNAcentral. Lineage: Bacteria; Bacillati; Actinomycetota; Actinomycetes; Kitasatosporales; Streptomycetaceae.
CUUCACCGAUCCGAGCCACAGCGGCCGCUCGGGGUCACGGCCCUCCCCGUACGUGGCGAACAGCGCCUGCGCCUC